RNAcentral lists this transfer RNA (65 nucleotides) under Erotylinae sp. 4 ACP-2013. RNAcentral's name for it is "tRNA-Asp". The record is from RNAcentral. Lineage: Eukaryota; Metazoa; Arthropoda; Insecta; Coleoptera; Erotylidae.
AAAAAUUUAGUUAAAUUUAUAACAUUAGUUUGUCAAACUAAAAUUAAUAUCAAUUAUUAAUUUUU